This is a transfer RNA of Ipomoea nil (Japanese morning glory), 72 nucleotides long. It matches the Rfam family "tRNA". Rfam says of the family: Transfer RNA (tRNA) molecules are approximately 80 nucleotides in length. Their secondary structure includes four short double-helical elements and three loops (D, anti-codon, and T loops). The record is from Rfam. NCBI's taxonomy places the organism in Eukaryota, Viridiplantae, Streptophyta, Magnoliopsida, Solanales, Convolvulaceae.
GCCUUCUUAGCUCAGUGGUAGAGCGCGUGGCUUUUAACCACGUGGUUGUGGGUUUGAUCCCCACAUACGGUG